UAUGUCUCAUAGACCUGAUACAACUGUGGGACAUAACCAGAGAGAUUUCUACUGUGUUAUGGUUAGACAGUCACUGGUUAAGGUUAGAAAGUAACUGGUUAGACAGUCACUGGUUAUGGUUAGACAGUCACUAGUUA
Solea senegalensis (Senegalese sole) is the source of this 137-nucleotide long non-coding RNA. RefSeq lists it as uncharacterized. The transcript has 3 exons. Lineage: Eukaryota; Metazoa; Chordata; Actinopteri; Pleuronectiformes; Soleidae. The record is from RefSeq and is a predicted model, not a curated record.